RNAcentral lists this ribosomal RNA (497 nucleotides) under uncultured bacterium. RNAcentral describes it as "partial 16S ribosomal RNA". It matches the Rfam family "Bacterial small subunit ribosomal RNA", at positions 28 to 507 of the family's 1533-position model. The record is from RNAcentral.
GAUGAACGCUGGCGGCGUGCCUAAUACAUGCAAGUCGAGCGAACAGACGAGGAGCUUGCUCCUCUGACGUUAGCGGCGGACGGGUGAGUAACACGUGGAUAACCUACCUAUAAGACUGGGAUAACUUCGGGAAACCGGAGCUAAUACCGGAUAAUAUAUUGAACCGCAUGGUUCAAUAGUGAAAGACGGUUUUGCUGUCACUUAUAGAUGGAUCCGCGCCGCAUUAGCUAGUUGGUAAGGUAACGGCUUACCAAGGCAACGAUGCGUAGCCGACCUGAGAGGGUGAUCGGCCACACUGGAACUGAGACACGGUCCAGACUCCUACGGGAGGCAGCAGUAGGGAAUCUUCCGCAAUGGGCGAAAGCUUGACGGAGCAACGCCGCGUGAGUGAUGAAGGUCUUCGGAUCGUAAAACUCUGUUAUUAGGGAAGAACAAAUGUGUAAGUAACUAUGCACGUCUUGACGGGACCUAAUCAGAAAGCCACGGCUAACUACGUG